UUACUUUAUUAGGAUGGGAUUGGGAAGGACGAUGGGAGAGCGAAGGCAGAGGAGCAAAAGCACCCAAAACAACGAGAGAAAUCAAGAAUAUGAAUACUGCCAUCGCAAUAAUUAUUCUUAGGCUUCCCUUUUUUGCCAUUCUUGUGCAUAUGAUCGAUGCCAGUAUUAACUGAAAUGGGGUUGCUAUUUUUACAGCCCAGAUGAUGAGUCAUUCACAUUGGGUGGUAGGAUAAGUCAACUCUGUCAUUAUCCAUUUUGAUCUCGUGGGAUUAUGAAAUAAUGACGUUCAGGUUUUGUGGUUCGAUUCGAUUCAUUCGAUUGAUUGUGAGAAUCAGAUGGAAUUGAUGGAUUUUAGUUCAGUUUUUUUUGUUUGGAAAAGGAAUUGCGGAAGUGUGAGCUGUUAAAUUUUCUUAUUUUG
Molecule: long non-coding RNA, 418 nt
Filed under: Olea europaea subsp. europaea
Lineage: Eukaryota; Viridiplantae; Streptophyta; Magnoliopsida; Lamiales; Oleaceae
Source: RNAcentral